GCGUCCAUUUCCGAUUCGAAGAAACUGAACGUGCCGUGGCCUUCGCUCUUGGCGCGCGACAGCGCCAUGUCGGCAUUCUUGAGCAGUUUCUCGGCAUCGUCGCCGUCGCCCGGCGCAAUCGCAAUGCCGAUGCUGGCGCCGCUGACAAUGGUAUGGCCGUCGAACAGAUAGGGCUCGCUGAUGGCGUCGAUCAGGCGCCGGGCCAGAAACGCGACAUCCUCGGGCCGCGACGCACCGGCCUGCACGAUGGCGAAUUCGUCGGAGCCGAGGCGCGCGAUCGCGUCUUCCUCGCGCAGGGAGGAGCGCAGUCGCUUGGUCACACCCUUGAGCAGCUUGUCGCCGAUGGCAUGGCCCAGCGUGUCGUUGAUGGCUUUGAAGUUGUCGAGGUCGAGAAACAGCACCGCGACCUUGUCGCCGCUGCGGCGG
This 426-nucleotide unclassified non-coding RNA is filed under the name Hevea brasiliensis (rubber tree). Lineage: Eukaryota; Viridiplantae; Streptophyta; Magnoliopsida; Malpighiales; Euphorbiaceae. The record is from RNAcentral.